RNAcentral lists this long non-coding RNA (997 nucleotides) under Ananas comosus (pineapple). RNAcentral describes it as "long non-coding RNA (ACOM_LNC022927)". Lineage: Eukaryota; Viridiplantae; Streptophyta; Magnoliopsida; Poales; Bromeliaceae. The record is from RNAcentral.
AUUUCAUAUUACUAUUUAAAAACUAAAUUUCUACCAAGAUUUAAAAUACAGUUUAUUCGCACCAGUUUAAAACGUAAUGCAUAAAAAACUUAGAGAAUAAGAUUUCUACAACUAGAUUUCUCCAGAGGAAUUUCAUAUUAUUAUUUAAAUUUUAAAUUCAAUGAUUUAAAAAUUAGAUUGAAUUGAUUGAUUUGACUGAUCAGACUUUGACCUAUUCUAUCAAGAAUCUGAUUUUAAUCUAUUGAACCGAAUAACAUUAAGAACAAUUUGGAACUGGUAAAGAUAAUAAAUAUUUUAAACAGAAUGAUAAUUUAACUGUUAGAGCUAAUAAAUAUUUUAAAUAUAAUUUUAAACAUAUAAAUUAAAAAGAUUAGAAUUAUUGGUGAGAAAAAAAAUAGUUAGGCGUUUGAAUUCGAAUCUGACUAACAAUCACAAAACUUAUUUCUGAACUCGACCAAUUUCAAAAAUCCAUAUCCAAAUUCAAAACUGACCAAUUUUCCGAAACCUAAAACUAAACCUAAACCAGAAGAAUAGAAUUCAAACAAUUAUUUCUGUUUACCAUAUUUCAAAGUAUUUAUAUAUAAUAUUAAAUUUUAAAUUUAAAAGUGAAAUUUAAAUUAGAGGAAUUUCAUAUUACUAUUUAAAAUUUAAAUUUAAUGAUCAUAUAUUGUCAAAUCAUUUGAAAUUUUUCUUAUGUGAAAUGCCAAAUUAUGAAAAGAAAGAUAGAGAGAGAAAAAGAAAACAAAGAAAAAAUAAAAAAUUUGAAAAUAUAGUAGAUAAAAAAUGACUAAAUUGUCCAUAUGACAAAAAUAUUCUUUUUUGAGGUACCUGGUAACCGGUACCUCUCCCAAAGUGACCUGCUAUUGCAGGUUACAAUUUUAAAAAAACUAAAUCUGAGCCGUCGAUUACGCGUGAAUGAACGGUAACAAAAAAAAAAAGAAGUAUAGAAGCAUUACUCUAAUUUUAAUACUUUUAUUUAGCAAUUCAAUUAAUAGUU